AAGGUUUUAAGUUAAUUUAAACUAAUAAUCUUCAAAAUUAUAUAUAAAGAAAACAUUCUUUAAGCCUUA
This 69-nucleotide transfer RNA is filed under the name Acleris fimbriana (yellow tortrix). RNAcentral describes it as "tRNA-Trp". Lineage: Eukaryota; Metazoa; Arthropoda; Insecta; Lepidoptera; Tortricidae. The record is from RNAcentral.